GUUUCCCCCAACCCUUGUGUAUUAUUACUUUGUUGCUUUGGCCGAGCUGCCUUCCGGCCUUGAACGCUCGACAGAGAAUACCAAAACUCUUUUUAUUAAUGUCGUCUGAGUACUAUAUAAUAGUUAAAACUUUCAACAACGGAUCUCUUGGUUCUGGCAUCGAUAAAAAACACAGCGAAAUGCGAUAAGUAAUGUGAAUUGCAGAAUUCAGUGAAUCAUCGAAUCUUUGAACGCACAUUGCGCCCCUUGGUAUUCCGGGGGGCAUGCCUGUUCCAGCGUCAUUUCAACCCUCAAGCUUACCUGGGUAUUGAGUCUAUGUCAGUAAUGGCAGGCUCUAAAAUCAGUGGCGGCGCCCCUGGGUCCUGAACGUAGUAAUAUCUCUCGUUACAGGUUCUCGGUGUGCUUCUGCCAAAACCCAAAUUUUUCUAUGGUUGACCUCGGAUCAGGUAGGGAUACCCGCUGAACUUAAGCAUAUCAAGAAGCGGAGGAA
RNAcentral lists this ribosomal RNA (490 nucleotides) under Botrytis cinerea. RNAcentral describes it as "eukaryotic LSU rRNA". The stretch from base 128 to 281 matches the Rfam family "5.8S ribosomal RNA". Lineage: Eukaryota; Fungi; Ascomycota; Leotiomycetes; Helotiales; Sclerotiniaceae. The record is from RNAcentral.